GUACACACCGCCCGUCACAUCACGAAAGCCGGCUGUACUAGAAGUCGCUGAGCUGACCCGCAAGGGAGGCAGGCGCCCACGGUAUGGUCGGUGAUUGGGGUGAAGUCGUAACAAGGUAGCUGUAGGUGAACCUGCAGAAGGAUCA
This 145-nucleotide ribosomal RNA is filed under the name uncultured eukaryote. RNAcentral describes it as "partial small subunit ribosomal RNA". It matches the Rfam family "Bacterial small subunit ribosomal RNA", at positions 1383 to 1525 of the family's 1533-position model. The record is from RNAcentral.